Molecule: ribosomal RNA, 495 nt
Filed under: uncultured bacterium
Lineage: Bacteria
Description: bacterial SSU rRNA
Rfam family: Bacterial small subunit ribosomal RNA
Source: RNAcentral
AUGAACGCUAGCGACAGGCCUAACACAUGCAAGUCGAGGGGCAGCACAAGGAGCAAUCUGAGGUGGCGACCGGCGCACGGGUGAGUAACACGUAUGCAACCUGCCUGUAAGCGGGGAAUAACCCGUUGAAAGACGGACUAAUACCGCAUAAUACUAAAUUACUGCAUGGUAAUUUAUUUAAACAUUUAUGGCUUACAGAUGGGCAUGCGCAUGAUUAGCUAGUUGGAGAGGUAACGGCUCCCCAAGGCAACGAUCAUUAGGGGUUCUGAGAGGAAGGUCCCCCACACUGGUACUGAGACACGGACCAGACUCCUACGGGAGGCAGCAGUGAGGAAUAUUGGUCAAUGGACGAGAGUCUGAACCAGCCAAGUCGCGUGCAGGAAGAAUGUCCUGGUGGAUUGUAAACUGCUUUUGCAGGGGAAUAAAGUGCAUCACGUGUGAUGUUUUGUAUGUACUCUGCGAAUAAGGAUCGGCUAACUCCGUGCCAGCAGCAGC